RNAcentral lists this ribosomal RNA (256 nucleotides) under uncultured bacterium. RNAcentral describes it as "partial 16S ribosomal RNA". It matches the Rfam family "Bacterial small subunit ribosomal RNA", at positions 99 to 353 of the family's 1533-position model. The record is from RNAcentral.
CGGACGGGUGAGUAAUGUCUGGGAAACUGCCUGAUGGAGGGGGGAUAACUACUGGAAACGGUAGCUAAUACCGCAUAACGUCGCAAGACCAAAGAGGGGGGACCUUCGGGCCUCUUUGCCAUCAGAUGUGCCCAGAUGGGAUUAGCUAGUAGGUGGGGUAACGGCUCACCUAGGCGACGAUCCCUAGCUGGUCUGAGAGGAUGACCAGCCACACUGGAACUGAGACACGGUCCAGACUCCUACGGGAGGCAGCAUG